AUGGCGAACAUGCUCAUCCUUACAGGCAUGGCCACAAUCCUCGCCGCCAGCACUGUCAUCAUAGUCACCUCCGUCAGCCUCAGCCCCGCGCACAUUCACUUCUCCAUCACCGACGCCAACGGUGCAAACAGCACCGUGGACGGAAUGGCCGGGGUGUCCUUCAACUUCAACCUCACCGUCGGCAACCCCAGCCGCCGUGCAGGGGUGGAGUAUAAGGACGUCAUCGUGAACCUGCAGCUCGCCCGUAAGCGCGUGAAGAGGAAAUCGGUGCCGGCGACGGUGAAUGAGUCCAUGCCGCUGAGCCAGCGGCCCAACAGCCCCAUAUCCAUGGCCGUCGCAGCGUUCGUGGAGCAGGACUUAUUAGAUCUCUACUUGAAGAAGCUGCACUACAGAGACCAUCCUACGUUGACAAUCAUUGUCACAGCACUGGUCCAUUUCAAGGUUGGGGUGGCCUACACCAGGCUCUACGACAUUACAAUCUCCUGCCCGCCCGUCGACUUCUCCGACGUCAAAAACAUUUUUCCGGAGGGCAACGUCAAUUGCUCUGCCUGA
Molecule: ribosomal RNA, 552 nt
Filed under: Triticum aestivum (bread wheat)
Lineage: Eukaryota; Viridiplantae; Streptophyta; Magnoliopsida; Poales; Poaceae
Description: partial small subunit ribosomal RNA
Source: RNAcentral